Long non-coding RNA from Poecilia latipinna (sailfin molly), 339 nucleotides. RefSeq lists it as uncharacterized. The record is from RefSeq and is a predicted model, not a curated record. The transcript has 2 exons. NCBI's taxonomy places the organism in Eukaryota, Metazoa, Chordata, Actinopteri, Cyprinodontiformes, Poeciliidae.
GAGUAUUCGUAGUGACUGAGGGCUCUUUGAACCAUAGACCCAGUAAAUGCUGAGUCACUGGUUGCUAUUGGGAUUGUCGCCUACUUAUGGGAGAGAAGAAAACACCAGGCCCACAGUUUUCAUCAAAAGGGCGAAUUAUAGCCGCAAACCAACAAGCAACAACUUUUGCCCACCUUAUGAUCAUCAGAGGGCAAAAUCCAGGGGUGCACACUCCAGAAACCUGGACCAGGACUAAACCUAAACAUUUGAGGUUCCUAAUGUUAUUUACAGCUUCCCACUAUAAUGGAGCUUCUGAUUCAACAAUUAGUUUUGUUUAAAUAAAAUACAUUAUGAACACAC